Molecule: ribosomal RNA, 497 nt
Filed under: Cherax destructor destructor
Lineage: Eukaryota; Metazoa; Arthropoda; Malacostraca; Decapoda; Parastacidae
Description: 16S ribosomal RNA
Rfam family: Archaeal large subunit ribosomal RNA
Source: RNAcentral
GCCUGCCCACUGAGGGUAUUUAAGGGCCGCGGUAUUAUGACCGUGCGAAGGUAGCAUAAUCAUUAGUCUUUUAAUUGAGGGCUGGUAUGAAGGGUCGGACGAGAAAUGAGCUGUCUUAAAUUUUGAAAAUUGAAUUUAACUCUUAAGUGAGAAGGCUUAAAUAGGCUAGGGGGACGAUAAGACCCUAUAAAGUUUGACACUAAAUUAAUUAAGGGUGAUUUAGGUAAUAAAGUCUUAUUAUUAUAUAAGUGUUUAGUUGGGGCGACUAGGAUAUAAGUUAUUUAACUGUUUCUUCACUCGAAUCAAAAAUUUUUGAUUUUAUGAUCCUUUUUUAGGAUAUUAGAGUAAAUUACUUUAGGGAUAACAGCGUAAUUUUUUUUGAGAGGUCCUAUCGAUAAAAGAGUUUGCGACCUCGAUGUUGAAUUAAAAUUUCUUUGUAAUGCAGCAGUUACAAGAGAGGGUCUGUUCCACCUUUAAAUUUUUACAUGAUUUGAGUU